This 45-nucleotide non-coding RNA is filed under the name Trichobilharzia regenti. Lineage: Eukaryota; Metazoa; Platyhelminthes; Trematoda; Strigeidida; Schistosomatidae. The record is from RNAcentral.
AUCCAGUUGACGAGUCCCAAACAGGAUGAAAUGCACAUCCUGGAU